This 253-nucleotide ribosomal RNA is filed under the name uncultured bacterium. RNAcentral describes it as "partial 16S ribosomal RNA". It matches the Rfam family "Bacterial small subunit ribosomal RNA", at positions 524 to 776 of the family's 1533-position model. The record is from RNAcentral.
UACAGAGGGGGCAAGCGUUGUUCGGAAUUACUGGGCGUAAAGGGCGCGUAGGCGGCCUGUUAAGUCGGACGUGAAAUCCCUCGGCUCAACCGGGGAACUGCGUCCGAUACUGGCGGGCUUGAAUUCGGGAGAGGGAUGUGGAAUUCCAGGUGUAGCGGUGAAAUGCGUAGAUAUCUGGAGGAACACCGGUGGCGAAGGCGGUUCUCUGGGCCUGUACUGACGCUGAGGAGCGAAAGCGUGGGGAGCGAACAGG